CCACUGUUCUAGAAGAACCUGGGGCUAUUGGGGUAUCUCUACAGAGCUCUGGAACUGCCUUGAAGAAGCUCCAGAGAGAGGUCCUAGCUUGUCUUUUCUGUUCUUCCCCUGUGCUGUGUGACAUUGAAUGAGUCCUCUCCCCACUCUGGACCUUCAAGUCUCGUCUGCAGGAGGCAGCCUGGAGGAUAGCGCUCAUCAAGAACUCUGGAUACAAAGGAACCGCAGAGGUCAAGCAUCUGCCCGCAUCCAAACCCUUCCUCACACCUGAAAUCAAGACCCCUUUUCCUGUGUGCCAAGCCCAAGGUGAUCUGGUCUCAACUACAAGGGCAGGAUGCUUGCUGCCCACGCAGCCUGCAUGGACGCAUGGUAGCUUUCCCUAAGCCCAGCUUCUUCCAGAAAGACAGAGACCACUGGAGACUCACCAUGCUCCCUUAGCAUGGAUUCCCUGAGAGUGCUCUGUCUGAGUCUAGUCUGCAAGAAGAGGGCCCCUCAUAUCUUCCUUGGGCAUCUUUUGGACCUGAUGUUCUUGGGAUGAGCAGGACAAGGGACCAAGCAUCACCCUUGACUUGCAUCACAGCUGGUACCAAGAUACUCAUCCCUGCCCCUUCUGCAGCCAUUGUGCUGGGGAGCAGUAGGGUCUAGAAACAUCUUCCCCACUUGCACUGGAUACUGCCAUGGCCUCUCCCUGCUCUGGAGACACACGGCCCUCAGGAAGCACUGAAAGAAGUAAUGAGACAGAGCGGCAAGACACUUGACAGCAGCCAGCCCUCCCAGCCUGAUGGCAUUCCCUGCCCUGUCCAGCAU
Molecule: long non-coding RNA, 804 nt
Filed under: Mus spicilegus (steppe mouse)
Lineage: Eukaryota; Metazoa; Chordata; Mammalia; Rodentia; Muridae
Description: lncRNA (ENSMSIG00000013213.1)
Source: RNAcentral